UGGGGGAUAUUGCACAAUGGGCGAAAGCCUGAUGCAGCGACGCCGCGUGGGGGAUGAAGGCCUUCGGGUUGUAAACUUCUUUUGCUCUGAACAAGGCGCACCAUGGGGUGUGUUGAGUGUAGGGGUUGAUUAGCGCCGGCUAACUACGUGCCAGCAGCCGCGGUAAUACGUAGGGCGCGAGCGUUGUCCGGAAUUAUUGGGCGUAAAGGGCUUGUAGGUGGCUGGUUGCGUCUGUCGUGAAAGCUCAUGGCUUAACUGUGGGUUUGCGGUGGGUACGGGCUGGCUUGGGUGCAGUAGGGGAGGCUGGAAUUCCUGGUGUAGCGGUGGAAUGCGCAGAUAUCAGGAGGAAUACCGGUGGCGAAGGCGGGUCUCUGGGCUGUUACUGACACUGAGGAGCGAAAGCAUGGGGAGCGAACAGG
Molecule: ribosomal RNA, 419 nt
Filed under: bacterium
Lineage: Bacteria
Description: partial 16S ribosomal RNA
Rfam family: Bacterial small subunit ribosomal RNA
Source: RNAcentral